GUCAUAUCUCCUGGAUUAAACAUAGAAAGAAAAAAAUUCCAUGUGUGUAAUGGUAAGUUCCCAGUCUGUGGGAAAACGAGAUCUGAUCUUUAAUGUAGUCACGACCUGACCUGCAUACAAAUCACUGUCGUCCCAGUGUUCUUAUCUGAUGUAAAAUCUGAAAGAAAACGUAGAGUCACGUCUUUCUAGAGAAAUGCUUUAUUUUUUUCCUCAAAAUGUUAUAAAAGUUAUUUCUCCUAAAUAUCUACAGUGCAUAGGGCUUUAUAAAUGUAUCCAGUAAUGAAUAAAAUCUAGGUUAACAUUGAUCCACUCUUCCUGACAUUUCUUUAAUUCUCGUUUUUCCUUUUCUUUCCUGACUUUAGCUCUUUGUUCUAGUCUUCUGCCACCACGAAGUGUUACCUGGGAAAGUAGGUCCAGCCGUGUCACCCUGACACGGCCUGCACUGACCUGCUCUCCCCCCCAACGGCGUCAGGCGGCGUCAGGGACCUGACUGAGGGCAACGAGGCGCCUGCAGAGAGGGGGCCCGAGUCUGCAACAGCACGAGUGUCGGACGCAGGAGGGAUCUAUCCGGGAGCAAGGUCUGGGGCACGGCUGAGCCACCGAGGAGGUGACCACUCAUAUCACAGCUUCUCAAACGGGAACAGGUGGGAAGCUGCCUCCUUCUCCUCCCUCCUGCUCUUCCGGGGGCACUUCCGCUUCUCCUCUACCUCUCGGUUUUGGGGCCAGGAGGCCGCCAGGAUCCUGGCCGCUUCCGCUGGAGAGCUGGUCCCCUCCUCCUCGUCUGAAGAGAGUCCUCCUCCUGCGUCUGCGUGGGGAGCGGCUUCCUCGCUCUGGGGGGGACAGUGGAGGAAGCCGCGUCAAGAGGCAGCGAUGCCCCAACAGCGCCGAGCCGUGACCCGGAGGACAGGGCUCAGCCCAGCAGGUCCUAGAGCGCUUGCUGUGCACACAGGGCUGGGGACACAAAACUGCCCUCGGGGAGCUACGAGCAAUCCAGGAGGUAACUGCGUUUUCUUCCUCGUUUCUGAACAGAACAAGUGCACGAAUGCACAGCAUCAGCGCUCGGUGCCCACUGCUGCGAGGACGGGCUGGGGAGGGCGGGGAGAGCCGUGCGUGGGGUCGCAGCUACCCCCAGAGCGUGUCUGUGCGUCUCUGACCGCUCCACGUGACUGUGUCCAGGGGGCCCCUGUGCCCCCAUGGGAGCCCGCAGGGGCUGCGAGAGGGACCUGAAGGAGCACCUGUGGGCCUGGGGGUGGUCACAGCCCCAGGGGCAGCACAAGGCCAGGAGAUGCAGACACCUGUCCCCCCCGAGUGGGCUCAGCACCAGAUCCAACCCAUAGCGGGCACCCUCUCGUGCAGACAGGGCGGGGGUGGCAGAGCAGCCGAGGCCUGACUCCAGGACACCUUUCUCAACGUGGACAGGACGCAGGGCCUGGGAGACACAGGUCUGUAGCACCGGAACAGAGCUGACUUGAUCUUUGAGCAGAAUCGGCCCCUGGUUCCCUACCCACCCCCACCAAACCUGGCGUGUCCUCCAAGGACCACUCUGACCUGAGCCCCGUAGCGAAGCCUCAGCCGCUCCCGGAUGAGCAGCCCUUUGACCAGCAGCUUCCAGUUCCCCAGAGCACGCUUCUCCCUUUUCUGCAAAAGCAAACAGAAUGGAAAACACCGUGCACUGCCGUUUCAGGAACAUAAAGAUACAGAUAACACUUCAGGUUAAGAUAGUUUCUCAACCACACCAGAUGUGAUUCAUAAAGUGCUACACACACAAGUCACCAAAACCAGAAACCUCUUCUUAAUUGUUAACCAACUCUAAAGUGUUUAGUGGAGGAGGGGGUCCGGGACCUGGACCACGGGCAGCUCCCUUUAACAGAGGCGGGUGUCGGCAGCAGGGGUAGCGGGCCCUGGAGCCCGGAUCCAGGCAGACGGUGGACAGAGACAGGGUUCUGAGGGGCAGGCAGGUCGUUGCUCAGUGCUGGCUCCCCGGUGCCUCCGGAAGAAAGAGCCAGAAAGAGGGCUGAGCCCGGACUCUCCCCUCCUCUUACACGUGGCGUGAGGGAGGCUGGAGGGAACACCGGCUCCGCUGUGUGUGCUGCCCGCCUUUCUGCUUCCCCGUCCUGGCCCCUCCCAGGCCCUGCCUGCUCACCUCCUUCUCCUUCUUCUCAAGGAGCGCCUGCUCGUUCUCCCAGGCGGUCAGGAGCACAUCUUUGUAUUCCUCACAGACUAUGUAGCCAUCGGUUCUGUGGGGAUCAACACAGAUGGUCUCUCUCGAGUCUGGGCCUGCUCUGGCCUCUCCACUCGCCUCCGCGGGGGACAGUGGGCUGCUCCUAAGCACUCGGGGCCCUGAAGUACUUCCAGGGUCAGCAGUCCACAGUCCCGGCCACAGCUGCUGGCAGACACCACCCACGCAGAAGGCAGGCCCGUGGACCCCAGGCUGUGUCCUCUUCCCCAGCCCCCUCCCCCACCCCCACUGCAGGGCAGGACAGAGGUCACCGACCAGGAAGGAUGCUGACCCUAUUCAGUCACCCUGACCACCCCCAGAACAGUUUUAAUCCACAUCUUUAGGGUGCUGGUUUCGCAGCUUUCACUGGUUUUGCAGCCUCUGGUUGGAAGCCAGAGUAAAAGUAUAGGACAUCGAGGGUUAAGGCUGAUUUUGCAAAUCCAGAGUAAAACCUUGAAAAUAAGAGCCACUGGGCCUCAACCCCCGCCAGCCCCACACCAACCUCCCGCCCCUUCUCCAUAAUCUCCCCCCACCCCUUCUGGCCUCCACGGGAGGCCCCUCACGCACACGGGAUGGGAGUAGCCUUUGUGGAAAUCGAAGCCCGUAACAGCCUGGGCACAGUCAAUGUUCAACUUUCGGGCCACGCGGUGCAAGUUGGGCAGGUUCAGCUGGACGCAGCCAACAGGCAUCAUGCCAGGCAGGAAGAGGUACACGUUCCCAAAUUCGUUCCGGGGGACCUGCGGAGGGUGGCACACCGGGUCCGGCUGGCCGCAGAGGGAGGUGGCCUGGUACCGACCCCACUGAGCGUGGCCCUUACCUUCCCGUCCACGGCCACUGGCGGCUGGUACUGCUCGGUCUGCCACUUGCCAAACAGGCCCAGGUCGUUGUAGUCCUGCAGCUGCGGCUCAGCCAGGCGGGCUCUCCGGGCCCGGUUGGAAUAGCCUUUUACAACCUGCACCGGAGGGGACAGCCACAGUUUAUAACAAAGGCGACCACUUCCUGAGCGUUCACUGUACACCGGGCACUGUUCUCAGUGCUUCUGUGUAUUGAUUACUUAAUCUUUUCAACAAACCCAGGAGGUAGAGUCUAUUAUCGCCUCCAUCUUAUAGCAGCCUAGGAGGUAUAAACAAUCCACCUACAGUCACACAGCUUGUAGAGACCAGAGCCUGUGUCUUGAACAGCUAUGCUGUGUUUGGUGUCCAUCACUGAAGGGGAAAUUGGGACUCAGAGAUGUUCCUGUGGCCGGUGAGUGACGGGGCCUGCCUUCGGCAGUGACCGGCUGGCUCCCUGUGCCUCAGCCCCUUCCCACCAGCCAGAGGCCCCUGCGCCCCGGCCCAGCUCCCUGGGUCUCUCAACGCGAAGGGCUCCUCCCAGGGAUCUGACAAAGAAAAGCGACUGUCUCUCAUGACUGGCCGCUGUCCUCCGCCGGCUGAAGCGGGCCCUGUGUCCCGUGACAGCCUGUGUGGUCUGCGCUGAAUUCACGCGUCUGUGGGCAGCUGACCGGCCGGAGAGGGAACGAGGCAUUGGGGCUGCACGCUGCCAUCUCACUAGCUCGGGCCUUGGACAAGUUUCCCUUUCUGAGCUCCUGUUUUCUCAUCUGUACAACAACAGGCAUCCUGAUGCUAACUCCUGUGAGACUCAGCGAAGGUCACAUACAUGCAAAACGAAGGGACAGUGAGGGCGGGUGGGCCCGUCCACGCCAGGCAGGGCUCCGGCCUCUCAGAACAAACGGGUGACACGGUUCUGACCCACAACACUGGGGCUUGGAGGGCUGCUUGCUGGCCUAGACUUCCUGCGUGCUCGGGAAGGCCCAUCUUACAAAGUCCUCAAGUAAAGAUGCUCUUCUCCUCUGAUCCUCUCAAGCCAGAACAGUCUGUCCCCACACGUGCACAGCAGCCCGCAGUCCCGCGGCCGUUACCUUGUAGGGCACUUCUCCAAGCCUCACCACUCGGGCCUGUUUCAGCCACGUGUCCCUGGAGUGCAAGGUGUGCACGCAGUCCCUAAGGAGCCAACGGGAGACAAGACAGGGUUCACAACCACCGAAGCACCCCGCGCCCGGUAGCCAGCAGGGCCUGGCUGCCUCCUCUGGCCCCCCAGGAGAAGGGGGAGCUCGGCCCUGGAGCGUCUCCUGGAGCACCAGGGGCCCGCGUCAGGCCCACGGUUAACAGGCACCUGCUGUCUCGCAGGGGGAUGCAUCCACUCACAAAUCCCAAACUAAAUGGCUUCCCGUGGUGCCUUCUCCCUCCUCUCGCCGGAAGGGCCCAGCAGCGCAGGUGCAAGCCCUCACCCAGGGUCUGGUCCGCUCCUGAAUACCAGAGAGGGGGAGGGAGGGACGAGUGUCCAGAGAAGGGGUGGGGAAGCCAGAAGACGACGACACGGAGACUACAGUAAGCUGACAAAGUACACAGGUUAGGAUGAACGUACACAGAACAGUCGGUUCCACCUGGCUCUGGCUUCGCUCUCCUCCCAGAGCUUAGAGCCACACCCCGCCUCCCAUUCCAGCUGCUUCCUGCUGAGCCUUCAGCAAGGCCCGCCCUUCAGUGGGGCUCCAAGGAGCAAGGGCACUUAGCUCCCUCUGGUGUGGACAUCCAGCCCUUCGCCUGCCCCCGGGCUGAGGCUGACGUCCAGCACAGCACACCGGACAGGGUCACACCUCCUCUGUGCCUCUUCCUAGCGGGAUGACCCCGAUCCAUCAGGGACGGUGAGCACUGCCUCCCUGCCUCACAAGCUGCUGGGGGGACCAGAGCCAAGGGCUCCACACGCGUGCCCUCCGCAGGGGCACAUCUCUGCCUGAAGGAGUGACUGUCACGGUCGUGGUCUUCCGGUAGGAGCGGAGAAGGGGCAAGCAGGUGGGCAUCGCCUGGACAUUCACAAGGAUAGCAGGGGGAAGUGGGCACAGACAACCCGUUCAGAAUAAAUCUCAGCUUCUAACCACUUUACAUCUAUUAGGACACUACUCAAGAAACAGAAAACAAGAACUGGAGAGAAUGUACAGACACUGGGAACUUCAUGCUCUGCUGGGGGAUGUAAAAUGAUGCAGCCACUGCAGAAAACAGUGCGGAGGUUCUUCACAAAGUUAAACAGAAUCACCAUGUGAUGCAGAAAUCCUACUUCUGGGCAUAUACAUCCAAAAGGACUGAAAGCAGGGUCUCAAGAGAUGUCUGUGCACCCAUGUUCAUAGCAGCACUAAACACAACCGAAAGGGGAAGCAACACAAGUGUCCAUCAAUGGAUGCCAGUCACAAAAGGACAAAUGCUGUAAGAUCCACUUCUAUGAGGCAGGGACCCCCUUCCCACCAGAUGUCCCCUGCACUUAGGACACCUGUGCUGUAUCCUCCAUUGAGGUCGCCAGGCCCUGGACGCUGUUGGCAGCUGGGCCCCUGAGCAGCCAGGGGGCAGAAAGCUCCCACAGUGACCCUAACCGGAGGGUCGGGGAUGCCUCGCCUCGGGGCUGAGCUGCAGGAAGUAGCUCUCAGGCAGAGGAGUUGAGCCACCUACUCCUGCCACAGCCUCUCCACCGUGCCCCUCGCCCACAACGGCACGCGCACACUGUGAAGCUCCAACCCCAGCCCGGCGAAGGCUGCUAAUCCCGGGCCGCCGGGCGUCUCCUCACCUGGAGUAGACAGCCUCUCCGCGGCAGUACCCGAGGAUGGCAGCCGUCUCAGGGUAGAUGGCCUCGUACUUGAGGAGGUGCCUCUUGAGGGCAUACAGAGGGUGGUUCUUGUACGUGCCUAUGACGGUGGGCAGAGGCUGGUCCAGGUGCCUCGCCUGAAACUGCAGAGGCCGAGAGACGACGUUGGGCGUGGUGCUCGGAGAGGGAGGGAGGUUGGCGGCGACCCCUGAACUUGCCCAGGUAACUGACGGUGCCGUGGGGCUUUCGGGGCCCCAGGGCUGCCGCACCACGCUGUGACCUGGCGUUCUGUCCCACGGGUUUAGGUGCCUCGGAAGCUCCGCAGGGGCCAGUAAUCCUGCAGCUCGCAGCAACGGAAAAGUCAUCCCUGCCCUCUGACACCUCGGCCAGCCCGAGCAGAGCCUUUCUCGGGAGGAGGCCUCACCUCAAGUGACACCACAAUUCUGUGACACGGAUUCAGCAGCUCGGCUCCCAUGGAAACCAGAACGAGCACUCACACCUUCUCCGUCCACUACGAUCAACACCUGUUCUCCCCGCUGCCUCAAGGCGCCUAGCUCCUCACAGGCAACCCCACUGCUCUCACCUGCAUCCCACUCACCAGGUCUCCUGCACUUCCCCGCAGCAUCUCUUCAAACCCCGACCGACAAGGGAGGAGUGGCAAGUGAGGAGCAGGAGGGACCCCGCUUGGCCAGCUUGCAUGACAAGCCCUUGAACUAGGUCAGUCGCAACACGCUCUGCACGACUGCCACGACCCUGUCACCUCUGAGCCACACCCUGAGCGAUGCAGUGCACAGGGACGACUCCCUGCCCUGGGGAACUGGCAGUAAUUCUCCAGCAAGUCUGCCCACCCUGCGGGCGGCCCUGCACAAGCCCCGGGCCCUCUUCCGGGCCCACGGCUGUCCCACGACUCAGGGACGCGCUGCUCCAGAAGCCGCCCCCAGGGCGCCCCUCACAGACAAGCCAUCUCCUCAGCCCUCCUGCUGGGGGCUGAGUGUUCUGGGUCGGGGCAGGGAUGCUGGCGGGCACACCUCUGCGCGUGCGCACGCUGAGAAGGGAGAACAGUUGUAUUACUGCAUGCUUUCCUCUUUCACUCAGGACUACCUACCUGACUUCAAGCUCCAAAUUUAUAACUGGGCAAUAACUGAAAGUACACAGGCUUUGAAGCCAGAGCAACCUGGGUUCAAAUACCAGGUCGGCUCAUCUCUCAGAUUCUAACUGUUCAGCUGGUAAAAUGAAUACCCCAGCUACGAUAACCCCAGCUUCGUACUGCUGCUGUGAUAAUUAACUGAGGUAACGCUCUACAAACACGACACGGGGCUGGGCAUCCAGCAGGUGCGCGCGCGCAAGGCCUCACCUCCUGGUCCUCCCUCUGCUCCCUCGCCACCAGCGGGCUCCGGUAGGGUCGCAGGGCCUCGGCCCACCACGCGGCGUCAACCCGGCACUUUCGUGUCGCCGUCAUCCAGGCAGGGUCGUACCUCUGUGUGACGUCGCGCACCCAGCCGUCGCCGUCGAUGCCCACGAUGUAGGUCACAGGCUUGGUGGCGUGCUGGUAGCAGGUCAGGGGCUGGCCCACGACUCCGUGCACACAGUCCACGCACAGCCACUUCUCCUCCCGCUCGGAGAACACCUCCAGCCACUGGUCCACACCAGCUGCUCUCCGGCCGUCUGCCUCCUCACCAUCCACGGGCAUCUUACGCUUGCCUCUCUGACGCUUACUGCCGGAAGCGCUUACAGACGCUUCUGGAAAGCCAGGGGGCUGAGGGUGGCUUCCACGCUGGGACCUGGACUCCCUCUUGGACCCCACCUUCAUCCUCUGAGGGGCGGUGGCCCUCCUCUGCCUUGGAAGGCCUGGCUCAGAAUCCUCGUCGGAUGGGCGAUGGCUGUCCGAGCUGGAGAGCUCAAAGUCAGAGCCGCUGCCGGCCUCGUCACUCCCGCUCUCUUCUUUGUAAGACACCCUGGCGGCCGCCCGCCGCUCCCGGCCCCGCGAACGCCUCUGGGCCCCCUCCGUCUGCCCCCCGGCCUUGCCCUCUUCUUCCCUGCUGGAGGAGGGCUCUCUCCGCUUCUUCCUGAUGGCAGCCGCCUUGCUCCCCUUCCCUUUGGCACGUGCACUGCCAGCACCCUCAGAAGAUGUGUCCUCUCGUCUGCUUCCUCUGCUGGUCUCUGGUUUGCUUGGUUUUCCAGGAACUUGGCUGGAAGUUUCUGAGGAGCCUCCAGGACCCUCUGUGGAUCUCUCCUUGGAAGGUUUCUUUCCCUUAAACAGAAUAGGAAAUUUUUUCUUUUUCUUUUUUUGCUAAUGAUACAAUAAAGACUCUGGCAUCUAACGGGGCUAAGUCACACUGGAACACCAGUGUACACAAGACGUUCCCGGCUCAGUGACAGUGACAGGCUGGCUACCCUCCAAGGCUGUAAGAAAGCAGUCACUAAAUUCUGCAGCACCUUAAAUAAGGCCACACUCUAAUUCUUUUCAACACAAAGUGUAGCACAGGGAAAAGAGCACGGGAUGUGGAAACAGACAAAUUCGGGUUCAAACGCCACUUCUGCUUUCUCAUUUUUUAUGUGAUUCGGAUAAAUUAUGUAACCUCUGAGUCUCAGUUUCCUCAGCAAUAGUACUCACCUUGCACAUAAGGCAUUUUGCAAACAAAGUCACAGCAUUAAGAAUUCAGAAAUUAUUAAACUUGACUUCCGGACCCAAUUUCGGACAAUGCCAGCACCCCAAGGAGCACAGGGGUCAGCCUCCUCUGACGACGGCAGAGUUCUGAGUCCUCACCGUCCUCUCUCCACACUGCUGAGGAGGACCAGUACCUUUUUAUUCCACCAUUUACAGAACAGAAACCAGAGCACGAAGGAGCCCAGGCUCUCGCAGGCCCCACUACGCAUGCAAAGCCCGGCUGCUAGAUACCCACCCAGGUGCCCAGUCUUCCCAGCACAGGGCCUGUGCCAGGCAGGCUCCGAGGAACCCUGCUCCACGAAGACUGAUUUUUAAAAAUCGUCUAAUGAGCAGAUCUGUUUGCUUUAAGUCUCAUAAUUUCUCACUCCUCCCUGACCAACUACUCUUUUCUCUGGAAGCCCCGGGAACCUCACCUUCGCUGCUGAUAACUUCAGAGGAAUUGGCUGUAGAGACAGUACGAGUCGGGUAGGGAGAUGCAGGGCCCGGAGAAUCAGUAAAAAUAUCUAUAAUGAAAAAGAACAACAUGCUUAUCCUCAGGAAAGAAUUAAGGAUUUGCAUAAUUCCAUGCUGUUUGUUGUGGUGCCUGUUUAUAAAAGGGAAACUACCAAAUUGUCUAACAGUAGGAGCCUGGAACCCUCAACACUAUUAAAAUGAUGCUGUAGAGAUUUAUCUUUGUAGAAAAAUGGGGCAUGGUAACCAUAUAUUAAAGGAAAAGAAAUGUUUGUUUUUUAA
Long non-coding RNA from Balaenoptera ricei (Rice's whale), 9248 nucleotides. RefSeq lists it as uncharacterized. The transcript is spliced from 3 exons. NCBI's taxonomy places the organism in Eukaryota, Metazoa, Chordata, Mammalia, Artiodactyla, Balaenopteridae. The record is from RefSeq and is a predicted model, not a curated record.